AGAAUCAACGCUGGCGGCGUGCCUAACACAUGCAAGUCGCACGAGAAAGUGGAGCAAUCCACGAGUAAAGUGGCGCACGGGUGAGUAACACGUGAAUAAUCUACCUCCGAGUGGGGAAUAACUGAGAGAAAUCUCAGCUAAUACCGCAUAAUACCCACGGGUCAAAGCAGCAAUGCGCUUGGAGAGGAGUUCGCGGCCGAUUAGCUAGUUGGCGGGGUAAUGGCCCACCAAGGCGAUGAUCGGUA
Molecule: ribosomal RNA, 245 nt
Filed under: uncultured bacterium
Lineage: Bacteria
Description: partial small subunit ribosomal RNA
Rfam family: Bacterial small subunit ribosomal RNA
Source: RNAcentral